Parus major (Great Tit) is the source of this 1073-nucleotide long non-coding RNA. RefSeq lists it as uncharacterized. Lineage: Eukaryota; Metazoa; Chordata; Aves; Passeriformes; Paridae. The record is from RefSeq and is a predicted model, not a curated record. The transcript has 4 exons.
GUGCUUUUGUGCAUGCAGAGCUGUGGUCAGGCUUUGCCUAAUGAUCUCAGAAGGCUCUCUUGUAAUGGCCUGAUAGCAUUAAUUUUUGCUCUGAGACCAUUUAGAUGUCCAUUCUGAUAAGUACGCAGAUUCCAGGAAGGCAACCCCUCCUCCACUGCUACAGCAGUGUUUGGAGAGUUAUUCAGCCAAGAAUGGGAAAAACACACUGGGAGCAUUGCGAGAAGAAUAUUGAAUGGUCUAAUUGAGAGAGAAAGAGUGAGCGAGCAUUGUGAUUUACAUUCAAACAGCCUGGUGAAUUUCUUCGGAAAAAAUAUUCUGGUCAAAUAAGAGCUUGAAGCAGUCCAAUGUGAAAGUGGCAGAGAGUGAAGAACACCUAAUGAAAGGUAUCUACAGUGAUAGAAAUGGUGUUUGGUGACUAUUCUAGGUUUUGACAAGCUAUUCCAGUCACUUCCUGCACACCUCUUCAGGUAGACUCUUCUUCAUUGUCAUUGCCAUCCUCAGGACCAGCACAGACACUAAGCAGGGACAAGGCAGGAGAUACUGGGAGAUCAUGUUGUUUUUUUUUCCUUAAUGGUGCAGAAACUUUUGUGUUAUUUUUUGCCCUGUGCUAAAAAAUUCCUAUUGAGCAAUCUCUGUGGAGUAACUCAGGACAGCUGCUCAAAGGACAGUUUGGUGGUCACUGUGCAUGAUUGAAAACCUCAUCUGAAGUCUGCAGAAGGCUUUAUUCAAUAAAAUGGAUUCAAGUUUAAAGUAAAAGUCAGUGCAUCACGGGUCUUAAAAAAUUAUUAGUAAUAUUAAUGGCAGCAAAUUUCUUCUACUACUUCUCAUCACUUCCCACACUCUAAAUCAUGUCUUAAGAACACCCCAUUGAUGCUGCUCUUUUUUCAUUUCCACAUUGGCAGAUGCCACUGGAAUAAGUGUCUUGACAAGCAGUUGUCAUAAUUUCUUCUUCCUCUUCCUUUAGAUAGUAACUUACUACUGAAAUGCCAAUUUUCCCACACACUGUGUCAUACAUUUAGAAUGCAUUAUGUAUUAAAUUACUUUGAAAUAGUUGGCAAACGAGCUGGCAUCUC